Molecule: non-coding RNA, 143 nt
Organism: Gossypium hirsutum (cotton)
Lineage: Eukaryota; Viridiplantae; Streptophyta; Magnoliopsida; Malvales; Malvaceae
Source: Rfam
UGUUUGAAUUUAUCCAUUUCUAAUGCUAAAAACUAGUAUGACUAAUAGAAUAAUAAAAAAAUUACACGUAAAGUGCUAUGUGUACCUCAUUUUGCUGUGCAAGGACCAAUUUUUAUCAGCAGAAAUAGAUGAAACUUUUAUCA